UGGAAUGAAUGGCAGUAGAGGCAUAAUCCUGAUUUUACAAAUACAAAUACUGCAAUUGCAAUUAUGAAUUGCAAUAUUUUUAAGACUUGGGUGAAAACUUGGAAACUCAAGACUCACCCAGGGAAGAAAGACACCAAGAGAGAGCUGCUGGGCACUGGGACCAACCAGUCCCACUGCAUCUGCUGCCUGCAGCCCGUUAAAUUCCUGGUGAACAACAAGCGCCAGUGUCUGGAAUGCCAGCUGUGCGCCUGUAAGGCCUGAAGCUGCUACGACAAGAAGGAGCGCUGCUGGGUGUGCGACCCCUGCCGCAUGGAGAAUGUAACGCAUAUCUUACAUCUUGCCAAUGUACAAGUUCUACUCCUAAUUCCUACUUGAGGUAUGAAGGCAAGUAGAUAGUCCCUUUCAUCCACCUCUCUGAUAAAUCUUCCACACACUUUGCCAGAUGCAUUUCGCAAACUCCACAUAUCAUACUGUGUGUGAUCAUGAUCCAAGCACUGAAAAAUUUACUUUUACUCUGCACAAAGGCAGAUCCUUCAGAUUUAAACCUUGGUAGGCUACUGUACUUUACAGUGUUUAUCUACAGGUAACUGCUAAAAUAAAGGAAACACUAACAUAAAGUGUCUUAAUAGAGCAUUAGGCCACCAGAACAGCUUCAGUGAGCCUUGGCAUAGAUUCUACAAGUGUCUGGAACUCUAUUGGAGGGAUGCGACACCCUUCUUCCAUGAGAAAUUCCAUAAUUUGGUGUUUUGUUGAUGCUGGUGGAAAAUGCUCCAGAAUCUCCAAUAAGUGUUCAAUUGGGUUAAGAUCUGGUGACAGAGAGACAGAGAGACAGACAGACAGACACAAACUCAGCCUUUAAACCACCUAUGCUCUUCUGAUAUCCCUCUUUCAAAGUCACUGAGAUCUCUUCUAUCCAUGGUAGCCAAAAUAAUGGGCAACUGAGAAUUUUUAUACAUGACCCUAAGUACAAUGGGAUGUUAAUUGCUUAAUUAACUAAGAAACCACACCUGUGGUGAACAUCUGCUUUCAAUAUACUUUAUCUCUUAUUUACUCAAGUGUUUCCUUUAUUUUGGCAGUUAACUAUAUGUAUAGUAUCUAUUGAUGUGUCUAUUUGCAGUGUUGGGAGUAAUUACAUUUAACAAAAGUAAUGUGUUACUUUCCACACAAAGUAAUAUUGUAAAGUAACGCGUUAUAUUACUUUUUUUUUUAAAUGAAAUAAAAAAAUCUCACCCGUUUGUUUGACUGUCAGAGGGAACACGC
Molecule: long non-coding RNA, 1260 nt
Filed under: Salmo salar (Atlantic salmon)
Lineage: Eukaryota; Metazoa; Chordata; Actinopteri; Salmoniformes; Salmonidae
Description: lncRNA (ENSSSAG00000114535.1)
Source: RNAcentral